RNAcentral lists this non-coding RNA (29 nucleotides) under Rattus norvegicus (Norway rat). Lineage: Eukaryota; Metazoa; Chordata; Mammalia; Rodentia; Muridae. The record is from RNAcentral.
UCCAUGUCUAGCCAUUUGAGCAUAUGGUA